This is a long non-coding RNA of Panthera uncia (snow leopard), 747 nucleotides long. RefSeq lists it as uncharacterized. The transcript is spliced from 3 exons. The record is from RefSeq and is a predicted model, not a curated record. Lineage: Eukaryota; Metazoa; Chordata; Mammalia; Carnivora; Felidae.
UUUUGCACUGUAGGCCUGCAAAAAUUAUGACUUGGGCGACAGGAAGGGAAGGGGUUCAUGCUCCUCCUUUGCUGGCCUGAUGCCACUCGUCCCUCUCAGGGGCUUACCCUCCAACCCCAGGGACUCCUUAACCUAGGACACAUUGAGGGACCCUUGGCAAACAUGCUCCUGUCCCCAAAUUCCUUAAAUUGCUGUACUGAUUGGGGACAGAUUUAUCAAGUUUUCAUGCAAUACGUGAGUAUGUGAUAGACACAACCAAGGACCCCAAACUAAGUUGGAGGAAGUUUUCUUUCUUGUUACCUUUUCCUUUUCCUUUGUUUGUUUGUUUGUUGUCUUGAAAACGAAUUUAUUGUAGGUCCCUUCUUUUUCCUUUUUGGACUCCCAAUGGCUAAGUGGAAUUCAGAGCAGAGAGCAACUGUUGCAACUGCUCGCAAGGCUGGAGCCGGUGAAGACGCGAAUAAAGCAAAGGCAGCAAGUAGUGCUUGAAUUCUUCUGAUCUUUCCCAGCAUCUUACCGAGAUAAAUUAUUUUAAACAUUUGGUCACCUUUUGUGGUUUGAAACUUCAAUUCGAGUUGGAUUCCAUUUCACACGCUUACUGAGAAGCUUCAGGAGAAGCCUGGUCCUUUCCUAGGUGCAGAGGACACAGGAGAAAGCAAGACACCCAGAGGUCACACUCUCAUGGAGCUUAUAUUCUAAUGUAUGUGUGUUGGGGGGGGGGGUAGAGCUAAUAAAUAACUUUAAAAAUAA